GAGCUUGCUCUUAUGAAGUUAGCGGCGGACGGGUGAGUAACACGUGGGUAACCUGCCCAUAAGACUGGGAUAACUCCGGGAAACCGGGGCUAAUACCGGAUAACAUUUUGAACCGCAUGGUUCGAAAUUGAAAGGCGGCUUCGGCUGUCACUUAUGGAUGGACCCGCGUCGCAUUAGCUAGUUGGUGAGGUAACGGCUCACCAAGGCAACGAUGCGUAGCCGACCUGAGAGGGUGAUCGGCCACACUGGGACUGAGACACGGCCCAGACUCCUACGGGAGGCAGCAGUAGGGAAUCUUCCGCAAUGGACGAAAGUCUGACGGAGCAACGCCGCGUGAGUGAUGAAGGCUUUCGGGUCGUAAAACUCUGUUGUUAGGGAAGAACAAGUGCUAGUUGAAUAAGCUGGCACCUUGACGGUACCUAACCAGAAAGCCACGGCUAACUACGUGCCAGCAGCCGCGGUAAUACGUAGGUGGCAAGCGUUAUCCGGAAUUAUUGGGCGUAAAGCGCGCGCAGGUGGUUUCUUAAGUCUGAUGUGAAAGCCCACGGCUCAACCGUGGAGGGUCAUUGGAAACUGGGAGACUUGAGUGCA
This 591-nucleotide ribosomal RNA is filed under the name Bacillus subtilis. Its description in RNAcentral is "bacterial SSU rRNA". It matches the Rfam family "Bacterial small subunit ribosomal RNA", at positions 76 to 650 of the family's 1533-position model. The record is from RNAcentral. Lineage: Bacteria; Bacillati; Bacillota; Bacilli; Caryophanales; Bacillaceae.